Myotis lucifugus (little brown bat) is the source of this 107-nucleotide small nuclear RNA. The record is from Ensembl. NCBI's taxonomy places the organism in Eukaryota, Metazoa, Chordata, Mammalia, Chiroptera, Vespertilionidae.
GUUCUCGCUUCGGCAGCACAUAUACUAAAAUUGGAACGAUAUAGAGAAGAUUAGCAUGGCCCCUGCACAAGGAUGACACACAAAUUCGUGAAGCGUUCCAUAUUUAA